This 248-nucleotide unclassified non-coding RNA is filed under the name Trechispora sp. RNAcentral describes it as "partial contains 5.8S ribosomal RNA, internal transcribed spacer 2, and large subunit ribosomal RNA". The stretch from base 1 to 52 matches the Rfam family "5.8S ribosomal RNA", at positions 103 to 154 of the family's 154-position model. Lineage: Eukaryota; Fungi; Basidiomycota; Agaricomycetes; Trechisporales; Hydnodontaceae. The record is from RNAcentral. RNAcentral also lists the same sequence under 1 other name.
AACGCACCUUGCGCCUUUUGGUAUUCCGAAAGGCAUGCCUGUUUGAGUGUCAUGUAAUCUCAACCCCUCAGGUUUCUGACCUGGGGAGGUUGGACUUGGGUGCUGCCGCUCGGCUCACCUUAAAAGCGUCAGUGGGAUAAGCACCGGUUGGACGUAAUAAGUUUCGUCAAGCCCUGGUGUGAUGCCUGCUCACAACCCCCAUCUUUUAUCUUGACCUCAAAUCAGGUAGGACUACCCGCUGAACUUAA